Molecule: ribosomal RNA, 430 nt
Filed under: Bacteroidota bacterium
Lineage: Bacteria; Pseudomonadati; Bacteroidota
Description: Bacteroidetes bacterium partial 16S ribosomal RNA
Rfam family: Bacterial small subunit ribosomal RNA
Source: RNAcentral
UAGGGAAUCUUCGGCAAUGGGGGGAACCCUGACCGAGCAACGCCGCGUGAGUGAAGAAGGUUUUCGGAUCGUAAAGCUCUGUUGUUAAGGAAGAACGAGUGUGAGAAUGGAAAGUUCAUGCUGUGACGGUACUUAACCAGAAAGGGACGGCUAACUACGUGCCAGCAGCCGCGGUAAUACGUAGGUGGCAAGCGUUGUCCGGAUUUAUUGGGCGUAAAGCGAGCGCAGGCGGUCAAUUAAGUCUGAUGUGAAAGCCCCCGGCUCAACCGGGGAGGGUCAUUGGAAACUGGUUGACUUGAGUGCAGAAGAGGAGAGUGGAAUUCCAUGUGUAGCGGUGAAAUGCGUAGAUAUAUGGAGGAACACCGGUGGCUAAAGCGGCUCUCUGGUCUGUAACUGACGCUGAGGCUCGAAAGCGUGGGGAGCGAACAGG